GACUGGAUGGUGUAUUGGCAACACAUCUGUACAGAGUGCCCAUAGUCCCACACCAUGCAUCACACAGAAGAUGUCCCACACCAUGCAUCACACAGAAGAUCCCUGUUCGAAUCGGGGUCCAGUCA
Molecule: non-coding RNA, 125 nt
Organism: Lyophyllum atratum
Lineage: Eukaryota; Fungi; Basidiomycota; Agaricomycetes; Agaricales; Lyophyllaceae
Source: the annotation of a GenBank genome assembly